RNAcentral lists this ribosomal RNA (309 nucleotides) under uncultured Micavibrio sp. RNAcentral describes it as "bacterial SSU rRNA". It matches the Rfam family "Bacterial small subunit ribosomal RNA", at positions 147 to 490 of the family's 1533-position model. Lineage: Bacteria; Pseudomonadati; Bdellovibrionota; Bdellovibrionia; Bdellovibrionales; Pseudobdellovibrionaceae. The record is from RNAcentral.
CCAAGGGAAACUUUGGCUAAUACCGUAUAAUAUCUUCGGAUCAAAGAUUUAUCGCCUAGAGAUUAGCCCGCGUCUGAUUAGCUAGUUGGUGGGGUAAAAGCCUACCAAGGCGACGAUCAGUAGCUGGUCUGAGAGGAUGAUCAGCCACACUGGAACUGAGACACGGUCCAGACUCCUACGGGAGGCAGCAGUAAGGAAUAUUGGACAAUGGGGGAAACCCUGAUCCAGCCAUGCCGCGUGAGUGACGAAGGCCUUAGGGUUGUAAAGCUCUUUUGGCGGGGAAGAUAAUGACUGUACCCGCAGAAUAAG